AGAUAUGAGGGAAGCUGGCUGUGACGCUUGUCACCCCAAUGACUACCAGGACUGACAGGGUUGGUCCAGUUGGCCAGCUGAAUGUCCCCAUUUCCUCCCUAAGCUGCACUUAGAGAAAAAGCCUUCUCUAAGGACUCACUGUCAGUGAAGGACAUAGGACUAAAUGCCUCUCCUGCCAGAACCUCCAAACAAAUGAACACUGAAAACUCAAGAAUACUAUCUAUUUUAUUUAUUUUAAAUUAUUUUUAUCUUU
This 253-nucleotide small nuclear RNA is filed under the name Jaculus jaculus (lesser Egyptian jerboa). Its description in RNAcentral is "7SK RNA (ENSJJAG00000008131.1)". It matches the Rfam family "7SK RNA". From Rfam's summary of the family: 7SK was discovered as an abundant small nuclear RNA in the mid-70s but a possible function has only recently been suggested. Two independent studies have found that 7SK RNA binds the CDK9/cyclin T complex (known as elongation factor P-TEFb). P-TEFb activates transcription by phosphorylating the C-terminal domain of RNA polymerase II. The record is from Rfam by way of RNAcentral. Lineage: Eukaryota; Metazoa; Chordata; Mammalia; Rodentia; Dipodidae.